RNAcentral lists this ribosomal RNA (254 nucleotides) under uncultured bacterium. RNAcentral describes it as "partial 16S ribosomal RNA". It matches the Rfam family "Bacterial small subunit ribosomal RNA", at positions 79 to 334 of the family's 1533-position model. The record is from RNAcentral.
CUUUCUUUGCUGGCGACCGGCGCACGGGUGAGUAACACGUAUCCAACCUGCCCUUUACUCGGGGAUAGCCUUUCGAAAGAAAGAUUAAUACCCGAUAGUAUAAUGAUUCCGCAUGGUUUCAUUAUUAAAGGAUUCCGGUAAAGGAUGGGGAUGCGUUCCAUUAGGUUGUUGGUGAGGUAACGGCUCACCAAGCCUUCGAUGGAUGGGGGUUCUGAGAGGAAGGUCCCCCACAUUGGAACUGAGACACGGUCCAA